UACGGGGGGGGCAAGCGUUGUUCGGAAUUACUGGGCGUAAAGGGCUCGUAGGCGGCCAACUAAGUCAGACGUGAAAUCCCUCGGCUUAACCGGGGAACUGCGUCUGAUACUGGAUGGCUCGAGUUUGGGAGAGGGAUGCGGAAUUCCAGGUGUAGCGGUGAAAUGCGUAGAUAUCUGGAGGAACACCGGUGGCGAAGGCGGCAUCCUGGACCAACACUGACGCUCAGGCACGAAAGCGUGGGGAGCAAACAGG
RNAcentral lists this ribosomal RNA (253 nucleotides) under uncultured bacterium. RNAcentral's name for it is "partial 16S ribosomal RNA". It matches the Rfam family "Bacterial small subunit ribosomal RNA", at positions 524 to 776 of the family's 1533-position model. The record is from RNAcentral.